Molecule: long non-coding RNA, 565 nt
Filed under: Homo sapiens (human)
Lineage: Eukaryota; Metazoa; Chordata; Mammalia; Primates; Hominidae
Description: HSALNT0281756
Source: RNAcentral
GCACAUUUAGUCAAUAUUGAAACCAAAUGUAUUGCUGCUUCAAAUACAUGAAUGACCACCAGAAAAUGGUUUGUGCUAGAUAUAGUGUUGUGUCCAUCAGGUUUAAGUUAUUUUCCACUGAGGCAUGAUGGGAGAUACAGACUUGGCUUACCAGGGGGCUGUUUAAUCUUCUGUGCCCUCAAAAGGGCUUGUUUGGAAAUGAUUUCGGGCUUCUAAAUUUCCAUAGAAAGUGCUGGAAAAAAGUUUAAGGCUUCUUUUUAAAUACCAUCUGAAUGAUUUUUCUUCCCACUUUGGUUCACAUAAUAAUUGCGUUCUUACUCUUAAAUUUCAGGCAGUUCCUUUUAGUCUUGACAGUGUUGCAAAUUCCAUUCACUCCUUAUUUUCUGAGGAAACUCCUGUUGUUUUGCAGUUGGCUCCCAGUGAGGAAAGAGUGUAUAUGGUAGGGAAGGCAAACUCAGUGUUUGAAGACCUUUCAGUCACCUUGCGCCAGCUCCGUAAUCGCCUGUUUCAAGAAAACUCUGUUCUCAGUUCACUCCCCCUCAAUUCUCUGAGUAGGAACAAUGAA